AGAAUGUUAUCACGGGAGACACACGGCGGGUGCUAACGUCCGUCGUGAAGAGGGAAACAACCCAGACCGCCAGCUAAGGUCCCAAAGUCAUGGUUAAGUGGGAAACGAUGUGGGAAGGCCCAGACAGCCAGGAUGUUGGCUUAGAAGCAGCCAUCAUUUAAAGAAAGCGUAAUAGCUCACUGGUCGAGUCGGCCUGCGCGGAAGAUGUAACGGGGCUAAACCAUGCACCGAAGCUGCGGCAGCGACACUAUGUGUUGUUGGGUAGGGGAGCGUUCUGUAAGCCUGUGAAGGUGGCCUGUGAGGGUUGCUGGAGGUAUCAGAAGUGCGAAUGCUGACAUAAGUAACGAUAAAGCGGGUGAAAAGCCCGCUCGCCGGAAGACCAAGGGUUCCUGUCCAACGUUAAUCGGGGCAGGGUGAGUCGACCCCUAAGGCGAGGCCGAAAGGCGUAGUCGAUGGGAAACAGGUUAAUAUUCCUGUACUUGGUGUUACUGCGAAGGGGGGACGGAGAAGGCUAUGUUGGCCGGGCGACGGUUGUCCCGGUUUAAGCGUGUAGGCUGGUUUUCCAGGCAAAUCCGGAAAACCAAGGCUGAGGCGUGAUGACGAGGCACUACGGUGCUGAAGCGACAAAUGCCCUGCUUCCAGGAAAAGCCUCUAAGCAUCAGGUAACAUCAAAUCGUACCCCAAACCGACACAGGUGGUCAGGUAGAGAAUACCAAGGCGCUUGAGAGAACUCGGGUGAAGGAACUAGGCAAAAUGGUGCCGUAACUUCGGGAGAAGGCACGCUGAUAUGUAGGUGAAGCGACUUGCUCGUGGAGCUGAAAUCAGUCGAAGAUACCAGCUGGCUGCAACUGUUUAUUAAAAACACAGCACUGUGCAAACACGAAAGUGGACGUAUACGGUGUGACGCCUGCCCGGUGCCGGAAG
This 924-nucleotide ribosomal RNA is filed under the name Escherichia coli. RNAcentral's name for it is "partial 23S ribosomal RNA". It matches the Rfam family "Bacterial large subunit ribosomal RNA", at positions 966 to 1875 of the family's 2925-position model. The record is from RNAcentral. Lineage: Bacteria; Pseudomonadati; Pseudomonadota; Gammaproteobacteria; Enterobacterales; Enterobacteriaceae.